AAACUCCUACGGGAGGCAGCAGUGGGGAAUAUUGGACAAUGGGGGAAACCCUGAUCCAGCAAUGCCAUGUGUGUGAAGAAGGCUCUAGGGUUGUAAAGCACUUUAGUUGGGGAGGAAAGCUUAUGAGUUAAUAGCCUAUUGGAGGGACGUUACCCAAAGAAUAAGGACCGGCUAACUCCGUGCCAGCAGCCGCGGUAAUACGGGGGGUCCGAGCGUUAAUCGGAAUUACUGGGCGUAAAGGGUCUGUAGGUGGUUUGUUAAGUCAGAUGUGAAAGCCCAGGGCUCAACCUUGGAACUGCAUUUGAUACUGGCAAACUAGAGUAUGGUAGAGGAAUGGGGAAUUUCUGGUGUAGCGGUGAAAUGCGUAGAGAUCAGAAGGAACACCAAUGGCGAAGGCAACAUUCUGGACCGAUACUGACACUGAGGGACGAAAGCGUGGGGAUCAAACAGGAUUAGAUACCCUGGUAGUCCACGCUGUAAACGAUGAGUACUAGCUGUUGGAUUCGGUGUAAAGGAUCUAGUGGCGUAGCUAACGCGUUAAGUACUCCGCCUGGGGACUACGGCCGCAAGGCUAAAACUCAAAGGAAUUGACGGGGACCCGCACAAGCGGUGGAGCAUGUGGUUUAAUUCGAUGCAACGCGAAGAACCUUACCUGGUCUUGACAUCCUGCGAACUUUCUAGAGAUAGAUUGGUGCCUUCGGGAACGCAGUGACAGGUGCUGCACGGCUGUCGUCAGCUCGUGUUGUGAAAUGUUGGGUUAAGUCCCGCAACGAGCGCAACCCCUAUUGAUAGUUACCAUCAUUAAGUUGGGUACUCUAUUGAGACUGCCGCUGACAAGGCGGAGGAAGGUGGGGACGACGUCAAGUCAUCAUGGCCCUUACGACCAGGGCUACACACGUGCUACAAU
RNAcentral lists this ribosomal RNA (907 nucleotides) under metagenome. Its description in RNAcentral is "bacterial SSU rRNA". It matches the Rfam family "Bacterial small subunit ribosomal RNA", at positions 333 to 1231 of the family's 1533-position model. The record is from RNAcentral.